This is a long non-coding RNA of Papio anubis (olive baboon), 685 nucleotides long. NCBI's taxonomy places the organism in Eukaryota, Metazoa, Chordata, Mammalia, Primates, Cercopithecidae. The record is from Ensembl.
AUAAAACUCAGCCUCUCUGGGAGCAAAUUGUCACUCUCAACAUUCCGCAGGCUGGUGGCGGCGCGGGCUGUCCUCGGACGCAAACUACACCUCCCAGGAUUCCGCGAGCCAAGGGGGUGGUUCUGGCCGGGACCGGAGCGACUGAACUCGCGGCUUUGCGCACGCGCACAGGCUCCGCGCCGGGCUCGCCAGCCGGGCAGGCGCACGAGGGACACCUGCGAACCUGGAGGUGGCGGAGGCUGCGAACCCGGCGGCGCGGCCAAACCUGCGCUGGCUGCAUGGGCCUCCUGGGCCAGGAGCUGGCGCUGGGGGCGGCGGCGGUGUGGGAAAGUGGCGCCGCAGUGGGGCCUCCUGGACGUGUUGGCGGAGGUGGCUUCAGUCCCGCGGAGCCCAGGCUUCAGAUCUUCCAGCUCAUCCUUUCAUAUUAGUCAUGAGGAAUCUCAGUCCCGCAGAGCUAGGAAAGAGCAUAGGUCCCCUCAUCCCCAGGGAUGGUCAGCACGUUCCUUCCUGCGCCUUGGGCCCCUGCGAGAAGAAGAGGAGAGUGGAGAUCUUCAGCAGAAAGGAAGACAUGGUGCUGGUGGCUGGACCCUCCGUGGCCAUGCUUUCACCAGUUCUCGGGAUGCCCAUAGGGAUGGGUGAAGCCCGCCUGGCCUGUGGUGCUUCCCAGUGGCCGUCAUCUCACUAG